GAAAUUUAUGUUUCUUUCUGAGGAAGAGAAAAUAGGCUGCAUGCAUUUGGUCUAAAAUGAAUCUCUAUUGUCUCUAGGUAAAAAUGUCUUCUACAGGCAGGAGCUAAAGCUUUGGUUGCUUGCCUCUUUUUGCCAUAGAUUUGUUUUUUUUUUGCAGAAAAGUGCUGCAAAAACACCAGGCUUUGUAGGUGAGGUUCUGAGAGGACCUACACAAGUUGCCUAGUGAAGCUUUUUCAGAAAUGUCUUUGGCUUGCUGCAACUAACAGAGAAUCCUAUCAAAAUGGCUAGAAACGGAGGAAGCACCUUUCAAUAUUAUUAGGCAGUCGAGGACUGUCUGCUCUUUUCAGUCCUGUGCCACGAGAUUUCCAAGAAUGAUGCCAGGGAGCACCCAAAAGCUUCAUGCCUCCAGGAAAAAGGGAUAUUCAGCUGGCAAUACAAAUUGGACUGAGGUCACCAAAUCCAUUUCACAGAGGUUACCAGGAUGCCAACAGCUUAUAGUAACUUGGUAUUGCUACCAGUCGGGACUGAACUUAAUGUGCAGGCUGACUACUGUGCAACAUCUCACUACUUGGCAUUCUUUGGAGAAUAGAUGUGAAGACUCCUCUGCAUUAACACUGCCCAGGGAAAAGUUCAGCUGCCCAAGGAAAGUUCUGAAGGUCAGAAAAGCUGUGGCAAGGCCGCAUGCAAUGGAUCUUUGCAUACACUACACAUGAUGCAAGUUAAGAUAAGCAAUGACCUGCUUUGUUGUUUCAGGAUUAUUUUACCUGCUUCUUGUAGAAACAAAGAAAAUUUAAAGGAGCAAAACAUUUAAAUUAUUAUCAAGCAUCUUAAGUUACCAUUAAAAGAACCAGGUAGAUAUGACACCACAUAAAAACAGGGCAGGGCAGUUGUUCUUUUAAUGUCUAAUCUGGUUUGUGGGUAGCAAACUCUUCUGCCUAUUCUGAAUUUUUCAGUUUCUUUUUAUUAUUUCAAAGUCUACCUUUAUAGCUCUCAGGCUUACUCUGCACUAUUGAAGCAUCCCACUUGCAACCUCAACCACAGAAGACACAAACCACAUUAGCAGAAAGUGGUUAUUUAUGUUUGCUAUAGAUAAGAUGCUCCCUUUAUCUAUGGAUCCUCCUGUUUCUUUGCCAAAAAAAAUCUGUCAAGUCUGUCAAGUGUGGGCCAACUGUGGGCAAACUUUCUGUGCUUCCUAGUCUGAUUUGAAAAGAUUCUUCUGCAGAUCCCUACCUUCCCAUAACAACAUUUAUUUUAUUCUAUCUUUUGGGGCAUUCCCAUUGACAGCAGUAAAUGACUUUUAAUCUUCAAAUUCAGUCAUUGAUUCUUCAUUCCCACAGCACACUGGACACAUACUUGGACUGGACAUAAGAAAACUUGGUUUAGGGCAGGGUAAGUUAUUACCAUGGCAUUUAGUUAUGUUAUGCAGGUUAAAUGAGCUAAGAACUGACAUGCUGACAGGUCCCACAGGCAGUCUUCAGUGAAGAAUUGCCACCAGAUCUGUGUAUUUCUAUUGUGUGAAACUGGUAUUGGGUUUGACCCUAUUUAAAAUUUGUGUACUCAUCUGUCAGUAAACAAACAAUCAAGACUAAUAAAAUGGGCAAAUAGCACGGAGAUAGGAAAGUG
RNAcentral lists this long non-coding RNA (1623 nucleotides) under Anas platyrhynchos platyrhynchos (common mallard). RNAcentral's name for it is "lncRNA (ENSAPLG00000028122.1)". Lineage: Eukaryota; Metazoa; Chordata; Aves; Anseriformes; Anatidae. The record is from RNAcentral.